UCGAACGCGUAACUUCCUGUAGCAAUACAGGAGGCGGGCGCGUGGCGAACGGGUGCGUAACACGUGGGUAACUUACCCUCUUGUGGGGAAUAACCCGUCGAAAGGCGGGCUAAUACCGCAUUACAUCCCGGCUACUUCGGUGGCUGGGAUCAAAGCCCGCAAGGGCGCAGGAGGAGGGGCCCGCGGCCGAUUAGCUUGUUGGCGAGGUAACGGCUCACCAAGGCAAUGAUCGGUAGCCGGUCUGAGAGGAUGGCCGGCCACACUGGAACUGAGACACGGUCCAGACUCCUACGGGAGGCAGCAGUGGGGAAUCUUGCGCAAUGGGCGAAAGCCUGACGCAGCAACGCCGCGUGGGGGAUGAAGCUUCUCGGAGUGUAAACCCCUUUCGACCCGGACGAACCCCCGCAAGGGAUUGACGGUACGGGUAGAAGAAGCCCCGGCUAACUACGUGCCA
Molecule: ribosomal RNA, 454 nt
Filed under: uncultured bacterium
Lineage: Bacteria
Description: bacterial SSU rRNA
Rfam family: Bacterial small subunit ribosomal RNA
Source: RNAcentral